CGGUUCGCACUUCUCCCUCUUCUCCUUUAGCACCAUCGGUUGAAUUCUAAAAGCAAAAUCAGUAGACUUGAGGCUUUCUUAUUGAUGCAGUCAGCCGAUGCCUACUUAGAAUUAGAACACAGACUAGACAAAGAAAUAGCUAUGAUUAGAUGAAGAAUUGAACUUCCAUUAGAUUAAAGAUUUUGCAUUUUAUACCGUGGCAUGCAGGGAUGGGGAAAGACAAUCAUUCUUGGGGUGGAAAUGCACUUCUCACCAGUCAGCAUAAACCCCUACGAAAUCUUGCAGGGAAAAACCAUCAUGGGCUCAUUAUUUGGGGGAAUCAAGGCGAAAACCGACAUUCCAAUACUGAUGAACCGAUACCUUAAUAAGGUUUGCUUUAAAUCACCUGGUUCAAGUUUAUGCCUCCAUGUUUGUUUGAUCAUCUGAUACCAAGCUGCUCCUUUGCGGUCACAGGAGCUUCACCUGGAUGAGUUCAUAACACAUGAGGUUGGCUUUCAUGACAUUAACAAAGCUUUUGAGCUACUGAUGGCAGGGAAGAGUCUCAGGUGCAUCAUAUGGAUGGAUAGGUAAAGAAGAUUGUAAAAAACAUAGGCAUUUCAAAGCGUGCUCUUUUGUGGUUUGUAAUAAAAAAGGCAAUAACUUGAACAUUCCUUGUGAUGUGGCUGCGUACGCAUGUUUAAGAAUAAUGGAAGAGUGAUCCACCAUUUGUGUUCAUUUGCCAUGACCUUGAAACCAGAAUUUUUUCUUUACAAAUAAGAAGAAACUUUUAAUCACUAAGAAUAGAGUCUAAAAUAGGACCUGUGUGUCAUCAUUCAAAAUGGACAUUAAAUCCAAAGAAAAACUUUCCUUUAUGAAAGAUUAAUGCAUUAUGAAAAUAUCUAUUUCAUAUUUGCGAGUCACUCUAUUUUUUCCCCUAAUAUCAAUACUUUCAUCAGUUCGUAAGAUCCUUUUUGACACAUAUUGAACCCCAAAAUGCACCUCCAAUCCUGGAUGACAUGUGGAGAUAUAAAUAAAAUACCCAACAAGCCCCCCUCAUAGGACAGAAAAGCAAAAAAAAAAAAAAAACACAUGCAGUUUACAUGAUCAAAUCAAUAAGUUCAAGAAUCGAGAACUCCUCUAAUUCAUUACAUUCAUGUUGUACUUGUAUUCAUGCCCGAUGCAUUUCCUUCUAUUUUCAGUGUACAUAUACACUAUAUAAAAAAAUACUUUUAAUAUUUUUUUCAGAAAAUAAAAUAACUAGAUAGUCAUACUAAACACAAAGGAAUCAAAUCCCGUGGACACCAUCCUUGGUGGACUUAAAUGUCAUCUCACAUGUCAGGUUUAUCAUCCAAUGAUACCUUUCUCAUAUGAUGAUAGUAAAUUACCCUUGAAAAUCAUAAGAAAACAUAUCUUCUCUGUAAUUCCCCCUACAAAGCUACUACCACUCAUGCUACCUCAUUGCCUUCGCCUCAGUGGACUUGAACAUCAUCCUUUUAUCGGUCCAAAGGUUUAUCACGCUUGGAAUAUGCAAUGAGGUAUAAGCCUUUCUAGUUGAAUUAAUGAGAGAUAGCUUGAAAAAAUUAUAAAAAAUACUUAUAAAUAGAAUUUACCACUCGUCUUCUUUGUCCCUUAGUAUAAAUACACGCAUUAAUUCAUGACUAAAUUAAUAAUUCAUGAUUAAAACGAACAACAACAAGUUAAUAACUAGUACAUCAUGGAAGCAUAUCAUGAUACAAGCAUUAAAAACAUAAAUCAUAUUUGAGCAAAGCAUAUAAUAUGCUAUCAUAUCCAAACAAUAGAAAUACAUGCUCACCCAAAAAAAAUUUUACUAUUCGAAAAUAACAAUUAUAAUUAUAAUUUUAAAAACAUCUACUUAGGUCGACGAACCACUUACCUUGAGUCCAAGCCUUUGUUGAAUUAAUCUAUCAUCUCGAGUUAAAUCUUUAUAUGAGACGAUCAUGAUAAAACAAAAAUCAAAACUAAGCAAUACAUGGUCAGUCCUGUGGAUGUUAACAUUUGGGUGAAUCCCAUGGUUGAGUCCUUUUUUCUUAAUACCAAAUAUUGAACUGCUACCUUGCUGUGAAUAGCAUUGCAUGCAGCAACCUCUGCUAACCUUUAAAAGCAUUCCAGGAACACAGGUUUAUCUGUGACCAAAACUGUAAUAUCUCCAUGAACUAAUCCUCCCUUGGUUGCUUCAUGAAUAGCUCUAAAAUUUAAACCGCCACCAGAGACAAAAACUGCUACUCUUUUCCUUUUAAGUCAAUUUUUUUGUGAACUAUCGUCAUUAGUUGUCAUGCAGCCCAACCCCUCUCUCUCUCUCUCUCUCUCUCUCCCCGAAGCACUACAUCUACCUUCCAAGCACCAAUAUUUACCGCCAGCCUUCAGCGGCACCACUUCUGAAGCAGUAGAUGCUUUGUGGGAGGAGGAAGCCUAGUCUCACUCUCACUUAGCAACCAUUGUUUCGAAGACCUAAACAAAACACACAAAGAAGCUCUAUUUAUUUAGUAAAAGAAAACCCCUGACCGAUUAGAAAUAAGAUUUAGGCAGUGGAGGAAGACGGUAGAUCAAUCGCGUGCAUGCGAUCCACUAUUCAUCACUUAGUUGCUUGCUUGAUAAGCAAAAGGAGAAAAAGAGGAACAUAUAAGAGGAUCCCUAAAACGUCCUCUCUUAUCUUACUUGUAGAGAUCAAGAUUUGGCGGAAGAACCGAGCGACGGUUGUAGUGGCCGUGGCGGUGCCGCAUCGGGGGAUGGCGACGAUGAGGCGGAAGUCGAUGAUUUGCUCCUACCAUUUGAGUAAGAGAGGAGGAAAUAGAGAUGCCCGCUAGAGGAGAGAUCUCGGCGGUUGCAGAUGUAGUGGAAGUAGUUCAUCU
This 2849-nucleotide long non-coding RNA is filed under the name Musa acuminata (dwarf banana). RNAcentral describes it as "long non-coding RNA (MACU_LNC003894)". Lineage: Eukaryota; Viridiplantae; Streptophyta; Magnoliopsida; Zingiberales; Musaceae. The record is from RNAcentral.